UACGUAGGGGGCAAGCGUUGUCCGGAUUUAUUGGGCGUAAAGCGCUCGCAGGUGGUUCAUUGCGUCGUGCGUGAAAGACCCCGGCUCAACUGGGGAGGGUCGUGCGAAACGGGUGAACUAGAGGCCAGUAGGGGGAUGCGGAAUUCCGGGUGUAGUGGUGGAAUGCGUAGAGAUCCGGAGGAACACCAGCGGCGAAGGCGGCAUCCUGGACUGGUCCUGACACUGAGAGACGAAAGCUAGGGGAGCGAAUGGG
RNAcentral lists this ribosomal RNA (253 nucleotides) under uncultured bacterium. RNAcentral describes it as "partial 16S ribosomal RNA". It matches the Rfam family "Bacterial small subunit ribosomal RNA", at positions 524 to 776 of the family's 1533-position model. The record is from RNAcentral.